UACGUAUGGUGCAAGCGUUAUCCGGAAUGACUGGGUGUAAAGGGAGCGUAGACGGUUGUUCAAGUCUGAUGUGAAAGCCCUCGGCUUAACUGGGGGAGUGCAUUGGAAACUGAAGGACUAGAGUAUCGGAGAGGCAAGUGGAAUUCCUAGUGUAGCGGUGAAAUGCGUAGAUAUCAGGAGGAACACCGGUGGCGAAGGCGGCUUACUGGACGAUGACUGACGCUGAGGCUCGAAAGCGUGGGGAGCAAACAGG
This 253-nucleotide ribosomal RNA is filed under the name uncultured bacterium. Its description in RNAcentral is "partial 16S ribosomal RNA". It matches the Rfam family "Bacterial small subunit ribosomal RNA", at positions 524 to 776 of the family's 1533-position model. The record is from RNAcentral.